AGGGGUGUCGGUUAAUGGCUAAACCAGCGGUCUCCAAAAUCGCGACUGGGGGUUCGAAUCCCUCCACCCCUGCCA
This 75-nucleotide transfer RNA is filed under the name Candidatus Altarchaeales archaeon. RNAcentral's name for it is "tRNA-Trp". It matches the Rfam family "tRNA". From Rfam's summary of the family: Transfer RNA (tRNA) molecules are approximately 80 nucleotides in length. Their secondary structure includes four short double-helical elements and three loops (D, anti-codon, and T loops). Further hydrogen bonds mediate the characteristic L-shaped molecular structure. tRNAs have two regions of fundamental functional importance: the anti-codon, which is responsible for specific mRNA codon recognition, and the 3' end, to which the tRNAs corresponding amino acid is attached (by aminoacyl-tRNA synthetases). tRNAs cope with the degeneracy of the genetic code in two manners: having more than one tRNA (with a specific anti-codon) for a particular amino acid; and 'wobble' base-pairing, i.e. permitting non-standard base-pairing at the 3rd anti-codon position. The record is from RNAcentral. Lineage: Archaea; Nanobdellati; Candidatus Altarchaeota; Candidatus Altarchaeia; Candidatus Altarchaeales.